RNAcentral lists this unclassified non-coding RNA (365 nucleotides) under uncultured Chloroflexota bacterium. RNAcentral describes it as "uncultured Chloroflexi bacterium contains 16S-23S intergenic spacer region". Lineage: Bacteria; Bacillati; Chloroflexota. The record is from RNAcentral.
UCCGAGUUUCUCUCGGCAGUCGGGUCUGAGUGAUACAACAGACCCCGAGGGUUGCGCUCGUUGCGGGACUUAACCCAACAUCUCACGACACGAGCUGACGACAGCCGUGCAACACCUGUGCAAGCUCCCUUGCGGGUCGGUUCCCUUUCGGGUCCCUACCACUUGCAUGUCAAGUCUGGGUAAGGUUCUUCGCGUACCAUCGAAUUGAACCGCACGCUCCGCUGCUUGUGCGGGCCCCCGUCAAUUCCUUUGAGUUUUAACCUUGCGGUCGUACUCCCCAGGCGGGGCACUUAAUGCGUUAGCUUCGGCACUGCCGGGGUCGAUACCGACAACACCUAGUGCCCAACGUUUACGGCAUGGACUAC